Molecule: long non-coding RNA, 2361 nt
Filed under: Nicotiana benthamiana
Lineage: Eukaryota; Viridiplantae; Streptophyta; Magnoliopsida; Solanales; Solanaceae
Description: long non-coding RNA (NBEN_LNC025846)
Source: RNAcentral
UUACUUUUCUGGUUUUUAGCACUAAUCCAUGGCUUUCAGUACUACCUCUGAACUUUUUGUCAAAAUAUGAUAAAAAAAAAACCCUAACCCUACAUGUUUGUAUCUGUGUUUUCCUAUUACCAUGUUCUUCUAUGAGCCCCGUUCCCUUUACUUUGAUUCUUGGUGCCAAUGUUUCAAUCCCAUACCCUGCUGUUGUUCUUCUUUUGAGAAUUUUGGUUGUUUAUAUGGUGACUUUAUACUGACUCUUGCAAUCUCUGUAAGGCUGUGAUUACUAGCCUUAAAUUGUGAUUUUUGUAUCUUUCUUACAGCCUUGGUAUGGAUUUCGAAUUUCCUUCCUCAAUCAGUGGGAUACAUUCCCCAAUUAGAUAACCGAUUUCCCAAGUUUUCAAUUUCGAAAUUAUUUCUUAUAAUUAAAGUGAUCGUUAUCUGUGUGCACAAAUAUGCUAAUUUAGUUGCUUGACAUAUUUCCCUACUUAAGUAUCUUGCACCUAGUCUGCAAUAUAUACCUUAUACUAUUCUUUGUUUCCUUAUGUGGCCAGGCCAUACUUUGUGAUUCCUUUCCUUUUUUAAUGGUUUGUUUAUUACCGUUUGCCUAUGACUCCUUAAUUAACGGGGAGUCCCUAUGCUUGUGUGAUUCUGAUUGAUAUCAGUUCCUUAAAUAUGAACCGAUACCUUAUUUGUUUACUCGUUUUAAUACAAUAAAUACUCCCGACUUUUCUCUUUUGAAAACAACAACAACACACACUGCUCACAACCAAAACUCUCUGAACUCUCUUUUUCUCUGCUAUUGCUAUACUCUCUUAGUCCUUUCUUUGAACACUCAAUCGGCUAACAACCAAGAUUGAGUAACUUGAUUGGUUACUUUGCACUGUUGGGUUCUAUUUGGGUCUGUUACUACUGUUGUUCUCAUAUUACUGCUGAUGUUCUCACAUUACUGCUGCUAUUCUCAUAUUGUUGCUACUGUUUUUCCUGCUGCUACUACUCCCAUAUUGCUUCCCUCAUUCUUUUCACACUUUGCUAUCCCUUUGUGCACUAUAACAUUUCUAUUAUAUCCUAUUUUUUGCAACUGGUAUGUCACCUAUUUGAAAUACAGUCUCCAAAACAACAUGCUCCUAAUAAUUUUGCAAUUCAUAAUAUUUCUUGUGUGCUUUUGUCUGUGGUUUUGUUGAUAUCUUUGUCAUUAGCAUGUUAUUUACUGGUCUAUUAGUUCAACUUAGCAUGUCUUUCCCCUAUUCCCCUCUCCCCAUCUCAAUGCAUGUUCUUCCUCCAUGUGUACUACUGCUUGGCUACUUAACAAUUCUAAAACCUCUCCAUGAGGUUGACUAUAUUUUGGGGUUUAGUACAGUAAUAGCUAAACCUUUAUUUUAAAUAGAUCUGAUUACUUCUGCCCAACAUGUUGUCUGUUCCCUUCACUUAUCUGCACUUUACUUAUUUUCUCCCUUAUCCCCUCCAUGUCUCAAUGAAUAUCUUCUUUGGGCAUUGUUUCCAUGCAUCCAUGUCUGCUUUCCUGCUUGUUUAACCUAAAAUCUUUGUGUCAAUGAAUGUCUUCUUUGAGCAAUGGGUCCAUGCAUCCAUGUCUGCUUGCCUGCUUGUUUAACCUAAAAUCUAUAUUUGAAGCUAAGUAAAAUACAACUUAAUAAAAUAAGAAAUAUGACUUUGGCUUGCAAUCAUAUCUGAUUACUUCCUCCAAUCUGAUGUCUGUAUAUAUGUAAUUCACUUUACUUAUAUAUGUGUGUUCCCUUUCCCCUUCCCCCGUUUGUGUGAUACCCUGCUGUUCUAAACUGGUCAGUCUGAAAUAAUUUCAAAAGAACCUUUUCAACUCUUUCAAUUGUUUCUUCAGACUGCCUCAACCUUUCAUUUUUCCCAACUGUUUCUUUUAAAUUGUCUCUCAAAUGUUUUGAACUCCCUCAAUUACAAUCUCACUGUUAGAGCUUUAGGGUCUGCCCCUUGGUGUAAGCACUGCCAUGGGAGACUUGAGCACCGUUGGAACUUUGAUGCACAAGGCUGGCAUUUCCAGUGUUUGCACUUGUCUAAUUGGGACAUCUUUGGGUGCCUGGUAUUGGCCAGGGGUUCAAACGAAGAACACCCUUGGAACUUUGAUGCACAAGGCUGGCAUUUCCAAUGUUUGCACUCUUCUAAAUGGGACGUCUUUGGGUGCCUGGUAUUAGCCAGGGGUUUAAACGAAUCCUUAGGAAACUUUGCCACACCCAAGCCUUGGUAAUGGCUGUGAAACUCGAAAGGAAUAAGGUUGGAGAUGUUUGGGCCUGGCUGAAGGCUCUCUAUGGAAUAACUUCUUAUUUUUCCUUUUAUCAGUGUUGUAUUUUUAAUUACUUGGCUGUAAUAAUUUGUAAAAACAAUGGG